Molecule: ribosomal RNA, 164 nt
Filed under: Isopyrum manshuricum
Lineage: Eukaryota; Viridiplantae; Streptophyta; Magnoliopsida; Ranunculales; Ranunculaceae
Description: 5.8S ribosomal RNA
Rfam family: 5.8S ribosomal RNA
About the family: 5.8S ribosomal RNA (5.8S rRNA) is a component of the large subunit of the eukaryotic ribosome. It is transcribed by RNA polymerase I as part of the 45S precursor that also contains 18S and 28S rRNA.
Source: RNAcentral
UGAACGACUCUCGGCAACGGAUAUCUCGGCUCUUGCAUCGAUGAAGAACGUAGCGAAAUGCGAUACUUGGUGUGAAUUGCAGAAUCCCGUGAACCAUCGAGUCUUUGAACGCAAGUUGCGCCCGAGGCCUUCUGGUCGAGGGCACGUCUGCCUGGGCAUCACGC